Molecule: ribosomal RNA, 497 nt
Filed under: uncultured bacterium
Lineage: Bacteria
Description: partial 16S ribosomal RNA
Rfam family: Bacterial small subunit ribosomal RNA
Source: RNAcentral
GAUGAACGCUGGCGGCGUGCCUAAUACAUGCAAGUCGAGCGAACGGACGAGAAGCUUGCUUUUCUGAUGUUAGCGGCGGACGGGUGAGUAACACGUGGAUAACCUACCUAUAAGACUGGGAUAACUUCGGGAAACCGGAGCUAAUACCGGAUAAUAUUUUGAACCGCAUGGUUCAAAAGUGAAAGACGGUCUUGCUGUCACUUAUAGAUGGAUCCGCGCUGCAUUAGCUAGUUGGUAAGGUAACGGCUUACCAAGGCAACGAUGCAUAGCCGACCUGAGAGGGUGAUCGGCCACACGGGAACUGAGACACGGUCCAGACUCCUACGGGAGGCAGCAGUAGGGAAUCUGCCGCAAUGGGCGAAAGCCUGACGGAGCAACGCCGCGUGAGUGAUGAAGGUGUUCGGAUCGGAAAACUCUGUUAUGAGGGAAGAACAUAUGUGGAAGUAACUGUGCACAUCUUGACGGUAACUAAUCAGAAAGCCACGGCUAACUACGUG